AACGAACGCUGGCGGCAGGCUUAACACAUGCAAGUCGAGCGAGACCUUCGGGUUUAGCGGCGGACGGGUGAGUAACGCGUGGGAACGUGCCCUUUACUACGGAAUAGCCCAGGGAAACUUGGAUUAAUACCGUAUACGCCCUUCGGGGGAAAGAAUUUCGGUGAAGGAUCGGCCCGCGUUGGAUUAGGUAGUUGGUGGGGUAAUGGCCUACCAAGCCGACGAUCCAUAGCUGGUUUGAGAGGAUGAUCAGCCACACUGGGACUGAGACACGGCCCAGACUCCUACGGGAGGCAGCAGUGGGGAAUCUUAGACAAUGGGGGCAACCCUGAUCUAGCCAUGCCGCGUGAGUGAUGAAGGCCUUAGGGUUGUAAACCUCUUUCAGCAGGGAAGAAGCGAAAGUGACGGUACCUGCAGAAAAAGCACCGGCUAACUACGUGCCAGCCGCCGCAGUAACAC
This 456-nucleotide ribosomal RNA is filed under the name uncultured bacterium. Its description in RNAcentral is "bacterial SSU rRNA". It matches the Rfam family "Bacterial small subunit ribosomal RNA", at positions 29 to 526 of the family's 1533-position model. The record is from RNAcentral.